Molecule: ribosomal RNA, 905 nt
Filed under: uncultured bacterium
Lineage: Bacteria
Description: bacterial SSU rRNA
Rfam family: Bacterial small subunit ribosomal RNA
Source: RNAcentral
AGAGUUUGAUUCUGGCUCAGAUUGAACGCUGGCGGAAUGCUUUACACAUGCAAGUCGAACGGCAGCACGGGAGCUUGCUCCUGGUGGCGAGUGGCGAACGGGUGAGUAAUGCGUCGGAACGUACCGAGUAAUGGGGGAUAACGCAGCGAAAGCUGUGCUAAUACCGCAUACGCCCUGAGGGGGAAAGUGGGGGAUCGUAAGACCUCACGUUAUUCGAGCGGCCGACGUCUGAUUAGCUAGUUGGUGGGGUAAAGGCUCACCAAGGCGACGAUCAGUAGCGGGUCUGAGAGGAUGAUCCGUCACACUGGAACUGAGACACGGUCCAGACUCCUACGGGAGGCAGCAGUGGGGAAUUUUGGACAAUGGGGGCAACCCUGAUCCAGCCAUUCCGCGUGAGUGAAGAAGGCCUUCGGGUUGUAAAGCUCUUUCAGCCGGAACGAAACGGUACGCACUAAUAUUGUGUGCUAAUGACGGUACCGGCAGAAGAAGCACCGGCUAACUACGUGCCAGCAGCCGCGGUAAUACGUAGGGUGCGAGCGUUAAUCGGAAUUACUGGGCGUAAAGCGUGCGCAGGCGGAUUGUUAAGCAAGAUGUGAAAUCCCCGGGCUUAACCUGGGAAUGGCAUUUUGAACUGGCAGUCUAGAGUGUGUCAGAGGGGGGUGGAAUUCCACGUGUAGCAGUGAAAUGCGUAGAUAUGUGGAGGAACACCAAUGGCGAAGGCAGCCCCCUGGGAUAACACUGACGCUCAUGUACGAAAGCGUGGGUAGCAAACAGGAUUAGAUACCCUGGUAGUCCACGCCCUAAACGAUGUCAACUGGUUGUUGGGGGAGUGAAAUCCCUUAGUAACGAAGCUAACGCGUGAAGUUGACCGCCUGGGGAGUACGGUCGCAAGAUUAAAACUCAAA